UGUAGCUCAGUGGUAGAGCACUUGCCUAGCAGGCACGAGGCCCUGAGCUCAAUCCUCAGUA
Molecule: transfer RNA, 61 nt
Filed under: Heterocephalus glaber (naked mole-rat)
Lineage: Eukaryota; Metazoa; Chordata; Mammalia; Rodentia; Bathyergidae
Rfam family: tRNA
About the family: Transfer RNA (tRNA) molecules are approximately 80 nucleotides in length. Their secondary structure includes four short double-helical elements and three loops (D, anti-codon, and T loops).
Source: Rfam by way of RNAcentral